AAACAUAGCCACUAAGACUUUAUUGUGUGGUUUAACCUGCCCAAUGUUGGAAAUGAAUGGCCGCGGUACCCUGACCGUGCUAAGGUAGCGUAAUCAGUUGACUUUUAAAUGAGGUCAGGAAUGAAUGGGAUAACCGGGUUUAGCUGUCUCUUAGCUACUGUGUUGAAUUUACUGUCUAAGUGAAAAAGCUUAGAUAAGGAAGGGGGACGAGAAGACCCUUAGAAUUUUUUUUAAAAAAUAUGACUGUGUUUUGUGAUUUUAUUGGGGCGAUAAAGAAAUAUUUACAACUUUCUUAAUUAUAUAAGCCGAUUGUAUUAUGAAGAGAUAAAUUACCUGAGGGAUAACAGCAUAAUUCUACAGGUGAGUUUGUGACCUCGAUGUUGGACUAGGAAACUAACAGGCUAGCCGUUUGUUAAGUUAGGUUCUGUUCGAACUUUUUAUUCCU
Molecule: ribosomal RNA, 445 nt
Filed under: Cerberilla sp. B LC-2013
Lineage: Eukaryota; Metazoa; Mollusca; Gastropoda; Nudibranchia; Aeolidiidae
Description: partial 16S ribosomal RNA
Rfam family: Archaeal large subunit ribosomal RNA
Source: RNAcentral